RNAcentral lists this ribosomal RNA (448 nucleotides) under uncultured bacterium. RNAcentral describes it as "bacterial SSU rRNA". It matches the Rfam family "Bacterial small subunit ribosomal RNA", at positions 338 to 795 of the family's 1533-position model. The record is from RNAcentral.
CCUACGUGGGGGCUGCAGUGGGGAAUAUUGGACAAUGGGGGAAACCCUGAUCCAGCGACGCCGCGUGAGUGAAGAAGUAUUUCGGUAUGUAAAGCUCUAUCAGCAGGGUAAGAAAAUGACGGUACCUGACUAAGAAGCCCCGGCUAACUACGUGCCAGCAGCCGCGGUAAUACGUAGGGGGCAAGCGUUAUCCGGAUUUACUGGGUGUAAAGGGAGCGUAGUACGGCACUGCAAGUCUGGAGUGAAAGCCCGGGGCUCAACCUCCGGGACUGCUUUGGAAACUUGUGGUGCUAGAGUGCAGGAGAGGUAAUGUGGAAUUCCUAUGUGUAGCGUGAAUAUGCGUAGAUAUUAGGAGGAACACCAUGGCGAAGGCGGCUUUACUGGACUGUAACUGACGUUGAGGCUCGAAUAGCGUGGGGAGCAAACAGGAUUAGAUACCCCAGUAGUC